GAGCCCGGUCACGUGGGCCUGUAAUCCAUGAACGUUGAUUCUGGUCAGCUGACCGGGUCUUGUUUGGCUAAUUUGUGGCCUGCCCGUUCCAAGCCAAGAGCCGAGCCGUGUGAUACAGGCGCAGGCGCGGAUCACUCGGCUCCUAGAGCUGAGGGGCAAAGCGUGAGGCUAGGUUUCACAGAGCAGCGAUAACCUCACUCUCCUGGCAGUGGAAGGAUAACGGGCUGGUGCCACCUGGACUCAUAUGGUCUGAUGGGCCGGAU
Molecule: signal recognition particle RNA, 263 nt
Filed under: Salix viminalis (osier)
Lineage: Eukaryota; Viridiplantae; Streptophyta; Magnoliopsida; Malpighiales; Salicaceae
Rfam family: Plant signal recognition particle RNA
Source: RNAcentral